Molecule: ribosomal RNA, 253 nt
Filed under: uncultured bacterium
Lineage: Bacteria
Description: partial 16S ribosomal RNA
Rfam family: Bacterial small subunit ribosomal RNA
Source: RNAcentral
UACGUAGGGUGCGAGCGUUAAUCGGAAUUACUGGGCGUAAAGCGUGCGCAGGCGGUGAGUUAAGUCUGAUGUGAAAGCCCCGGGCUCAACCUGGGAAUGGCAUUGGAAACUGGCUCGCUGGAGUGUGGCAGAGGGGGUGGAAUUCCGCGGUGUAGCAGUGAAAUGCGUAGAGAUGCGGAGGAACACCGAUGGCGAAGGCAGCCCCCUGGGCCAACACUGACGCUCAGGCACGAAAGCGUGGGGAGCAAACAGG